CAGGCCAGCUGACAGUUUUGUCUGGGCCCGGGACAAGAUAAUGUUGGAUGGGCCCUCCCCUCCACCACCACCGGGGGAAAUCUUAGCUCUCCAUGGCAGCUGAGAUUUUAGUUAAAUAUGACAUUUAUAUACUUGUCACAAAGGACCUGCUAAUAUUAUUAAGAGUUGUGCAUGCACAUUUUCUAAUUCUUAUACAUGCAGGAAAAAUAGACCAGG
Long non-coding RNA from Thalassophryne amazonica, 216 nucleotides. RefSeq lists it as uncharacterized. The transcript has 2 exons. NCBI's taxonomy places the organism in Eukaryota, Metazoa, Chordata, Actinopteri, Batrachoidiformes, Batrachoididae. The record is from RefSeq and is a predicted model, not a curated record.